AAAGUCCAAAUUGGAGGAGAAAAGAGCUAAAGAAAAAAAGAGUGGACCAAAUGUGCACAAAAACAUGACUUGGAGACAAAGGUGUAAAAGUGCUCGCACUCAGGCUUACUAUGGUGAGUGUGGUAGGCUCUUUGUGAUCUCUUUUGAGGCUAAAAAUGUCUCACAGUGAGCUCGCCGCUUUUCAAUUGGGCGAAUAUUUCCUAUUUCGGGUAAAUUUCGAGACCUCUUCUGCAAUUUCACUUUAGGUGAUUUUGGCCAUUUAAAUACCAAAUUGUUGGUCACUUUUUAGGGAAACACCCAUAAGAGAACUCUUAGAAAAGCAUUCAAGGAGAGAAAAGGCAAGUAGAAGGGAAAAUAUCUAGCAAAAUUUGGGAGUUUACAAGGAAUAUUCAAGAUUUCUUUCCCUCAUUUCUUCAAAAAUAUAUUUAAGGGACAAUUUUCUUCCACUAUCUUGUAUUUUUAUGUUAUCUCCUUCAUUUGUAAUGGGUUCUCUCUUUAUUUCAUUUUUGUGCUUCUAUUUUACAAUGGGCUAAGUGUUUAAUGUUGGUAUUUAUGAUGUAACUUGACCUAUGUUUCUUUAAUGUCAAUAUUCAUCAUUUA
RNAcentral lists this long non-coding RNA (600 nucleotides) under Olea europaea (common olive). RNAcentral describes it as "long non-coding RNA (OEUR_LNC008856)". The record is from RNAcentral. Lineage: Eukaryota; Viridiplantae; Streptophyta; Magnoliopsida; Lamiales; Oleaceae.